Molecule: ribosomal RNA, 120 nt
Filed under: uncultured bacterium
Lineage: Bacteria
Description: partial 16S ribosomal RNA
Rfam family: Bacterial small subunit ribosomal RNA
Source: RNAcentral
CACGCUGUAAACGAUGGAUACUAGGUGUGGGGGGACUGACCCCCUCCGUGCCGGAGUUAACACAAUAAGUAUCCCACCUGGGGAGUACGAUCGCAAGGUUGAAACUCAAAGGAAUUGACG